UAAAGAGAGAUUAAAUAAAAAGGAGUUGGUUUGGUUACCAAAGCAAAGACCAGUCAAUAGUCAUACUAAUCUUCUCUUUGCUUCAUCACCUAGAGCAUAUCGACAAGCUCAAGACCAAAGCAAAUGAUCAGUCACAAUUAUCUUCUCUUUCCUUUCACCUCGCCUAAAAUGGACAAGCUCAAUAAAUCAGUCAUUUUCUCAAGUGACCAAGAUGUGUUUCCAUAUCUCUUUAACAGAAAUGGUGUUAAGAUUUAUGCAUCUCGUCGAUCUUUAUAAGCUUAAUCUUCCAAAACGCCCCAUAUUUUCUCUGAUUUCACCUUGUUAAAGCCUUCGCCGUUUACUUCUUCACGUCGUUCCUGGUGGAUCCAUUUCGGAGGUCUUCCCUCUUUUGGUUCAGUUUCUUCAUCAGAUUCAGGAGCUUCGGGUCCCGCCAAUGAAGGUUGAUUGCUCCCAGCAGGCAAUUUGGAGUCCACUAGGUAGUUGCUUGGCAUUCGUAGCCCAGUGUUUCUCUCUACUAUUUUACUUCCAUUGUUCUAGUUCUGUAAUAGAUUGUAUAAACUCUUUCAUACUCUUAAACUUAUGUUAGAUGCUCAUGAUUAGUGACACCCGAUGUAAAGUUGUGUUGGUUUCCGCAAAUUGUACUAGUUCACUUUUAUUUUGGAAUUAUUAG
Molecule: non-coding RNA, 670 nt
Organism: Nicotiana tabacum (common tobacco)
Lineage: Eukaryota; Viridiplantae; Streptophyta; Magnoliopsida; Solanales; Solanaceae
Source: RefSeq, a predicted model, not a curated record